This 313-nucleotide ribosomal RNA is filed under the name uncultured soil bacterium. Its description in RNAcentral is "bacterial SSU rRNA". It matches the Rfam family "Bacterial small subunit ribosomal RNA", at positions 1082 to 1397 of the family's 1533-position model. The record is from RNAcentral.
AAGUCCCGUAACGAGCGCAACCCUCGUCUUUAGUUGCCACCAUUUAGUUGGGCACUCUAAAGAAACUGCCGGUGAUAAGCCGGAGGAAGGUGGGGAUGACGUCAAGUCCUCAUGGCCCUUACGCGCUGGGCUACACACGUGCUACAAUGGCGGUGACAGAGGGCUGCAAACCCGCGAGGGUGAGCUAAUCUCCAAAAGCCGUCUCAGUUCGGAUUGUUCUCUGCAACUCGAGAGCAUGAAGGCGGAAUCGCUAGUAAUCGCGGAUCAGCACGCCGCGGUGAAUACGUUCCCAGGCCUUGUACACACCGCCCGU